This 588-nucleotide ribosomal RNA is filed under the name Promicromonospora sp. CATR-188. RNAcentral's name for it is "bacterial SSU rRNA". It matches the Rfam family "Bacterial small subunit ribosomal RNA", at positions 275 to 873 of the family's 1533-position model. The record is from RNAcentral. Lineage: Bacteria; Bacillati; Actinomycetota; Actinomycetes; Micrococcales; Promicromonosporaceae.
GUCGACGGGUAGCCGGCCUGAGAGGGCGACCGGCCACACUGGGACUGAGACACGGCCCAGACUCCUACGGGAGGCAGCAGUGGGGAAUAUUGCACAAUGGGCGAAAGCCUGAUGCAGCGACGCCACGUGAGGGAUGACGGCCUUCGGGUUGUAAACCUCUUUCAGCAGGGAAGAAGCGCANGUGACGGUACCUGCAGAAGAAGCGCCGGCUAACUACGUGCCAGCAGCCGCGGUAAUACGUAGGGCGCAAGCGUUGUCCGGAAUUAUUGGGCGUAAAGAGCUCGUAGGCGGUCUGUCGCGUCUGGUGUGAAAUCCCAUGGCUCAACCAUGGGCUUGCAUCGGGUACGGGCAGACUAGAGUGCUGUAGGGGAGACUGGAAUUCCUGGUGUAGCGGUGGAAUGCGCAGAUAUCAGGAGGAACACCGAUGGCGAAGGCAGGUCUCUGGGCCGUUACUGACGCUGAGGAGCGAAAGCAUGGGGAGCGAACAGGAUUAGAUACCCUGGUAGUCCAUGCCGUAAACGUUGGGCACUAGGUGUGGGGCGGGUUCCACUCGUUCUGUGCCGCAGCUAACGCAUUAAGUGCCCCGCG